GUUUCUGACACAGCAGUCCUGAGGAGUGAGUCCUGGUCCUUUGUUCAGCGAGAUUUUAUAGGUUUUUGGAGAUACCCUAUGUGUCACAACAUCACACAGCAAAUCAUUUCACACUGCGGGAAAAUCAAACAACAGCUCUUAACAUUGAUUAGCACAUUCACUGGCAGGAACAAGUUGGGUAGGGGUGAUUGGUUGAGAGGGAUUCAUUUGAACUGAUUGGUUUAAUCUGUGUUGGGUGUACAUGCUAAACUAUAUGGUUUCCUAACAUGUUAUCAACCACCAAGACUACUGGAGGGGUCAUCUGGCAUCCCAGGUAUUUUUCCUGUCUCAUGCUAAUUGGUGGUUGCUAGGGGGUGUCAGGGACACCUGGCAUGGCAGAUCUCUCCAGUUAUUUAUAGACAAACAACUCAGCAGGGUGGCUGUGUACCUAGGAGUGCUCUGUGGGUUUUUCCAAGGACAAGGGUCAGGCCCCCUCCCUUUGGACAGGCCUUGAGGUAGAAGCUGGGUUUUCAAAAACCCAAACUGGAAUAUGAUCCUUUCCUUGAAGUGCCCUCCUCUUCUUCCAGGCCUGAGGACUGCCAGGGGUGAGCUGGACUCCAGGUGAGCAGUGUGAUGGACUUCCAGAUGCUGAACUCCAAGGAGUGUUGGCCAAGCCCUGUGCUGGCUGCCUAUUGAUUCUGCAGACCCUCCAGCAAGGUACACUCCGGGGUACAGUUUCAGUUAAAGAGCACCCCCCAGAAAAAAAAGGUCUACUUGUUUUUAACAUAUAACAUUUGAGACUUUAGAAAAACUGAAACAAGCCAAUAUUUUUUAAUUCCCAAGAGCACAAAAGACUAAGGAGAGAAAACAAGUCUCCUGGCCACAAACACUGGUCUCAAGAGGCAUCCACCAUUGACAAGUGCCAAUGUGAGGCGAUAUUCUAAUAAUGGCCUCUCUGUGCCUGUUCUUCCUUCUGGACAGUGGGGAUAAUGACACAUUAUGAGGUGCUUGAGGGCCAGGUGAGCGGAUCUUUGCAAACAGGGAGGUCGUAACUUACAGCCUUCCCUCCCACUUUACAGACUUGUCACUACCUGCUUCCAGGAGAUGGUGCCUGCUUUACAAACCGGCCUAAUUCCUCCCAAACGCUGCAGAGCAUGCUGGUGCCUGAGAGGCUUCUUAUGCAAUUGGUCCCCGUGGGGCAGGAGGGUUACUUCUGUCUCUGGAACCCACCAGCACUUGCCACAACAGGCAUGAGCUAAAGGUGGCGCGAGAGGGGAGAGGGUGCGUUUAGACUUUGAAUAAACCUUCCUCAUCACCUCCAGAGGAUUUCCACCCAACACCCCCAGCCACUGCGGAGAGGUUUCUGGCCUCACCCUGAAGGGCCUGGAUUCCUCACCUACAAACAACCGCGAUCACGGUUGCAUAAUUAGAAUCGCAACUUGGCAAAGAGAAAGAAAAGUUGCCCUCUGCCAGAGCAAGACAACCAGCAGGCGGCAAGGUGGUUUUAAUAUAGAACAUACAGAUUUUAAAAACAGAGUGCCCUUUCUUUUUACAUGGUGGAUGCUAUGUUCACGAUGCGUAUGUUAUAUAAUCGUGACACUACGAAAUACAGCCCCACAGCACUCCUGGCUGCACACACAGCGGUCCUUUGCACCGGAAGGUGAGGGAGCAGGGGUGCCAAGGAGCUUCUCCUUGUCCGAUGGCACCCUCUCCAUCACCUCCCGAGUCCUACUGCUCCCGUUUUACCGAUGAGGAAACUGAGGCAAGGUCAGGUGGCCUGUCAGAAACCUCACGGGGCUGGCAGAGGGAUUCCAUCACAACUGUGCCUGAGUCUGGACGUCCGGGGGACACGGGACCAGCGCACACCGCCCCACUCCACCCGGCUCCAGCACCCACCGCCCCGCCCCGCGUCCGCAGCCCCAGCCCCGCGAGUCCCUGCCCCGGAGGCGUUCCACCGCCCCCCAGGAAGCCCUGAGCCCCUGAAGGCGGCUGGGCAGUUCCUGGGGACCGGGCGGGUGGACCGCGCCAGCUAGGGAGACGCCGGCAGGACGAGGAGCGGCUCGGCCCGGGGUGGCCACACAGGCUGGGCUAACCCGAGGGGCCUGUUGGGGCAACCUCCCACUAGGGCCACACGGGCAUCCCACAGUCCAGCUUCGCAGCUGCUGCCCUCCAGCUGGACACCUGGACUCGCC
This 2171-nucleotide long non-coding RNA is filed under the name Marmota monax (woodchuck). The record is from RNAcentral. Lineage: Eukaryota; Metazoa; Chordata; Mammalia; Rodentia; Sciuridae.